This 253-nucleotide ribosomal RNA is filed under the name uncultured bacterium. RNAcentral describes it as "partial 16S ribosomal RNA". It matches the Rfam family "Bacterial small subunit ribosomal RNA", at positions 524 to 776 of the family's 1533-position model. The record is from RNAcentral.
UACGGGGGGAGCAAGCGUUGUUCGGAUUUACUGGGCGUAAAGGGCGCGUAGGCGGCGUGACAAGUCACUUGUGAAAUCUCCGGGCUUAACUCGGAACGGUCAAGUGAUACUGUCGUGCUAGAGUACAGAAGGGGCAACUGGAAUUCUCGGUGUAGCGGUGAAAUGCGUAGAUAUCGAGAGGAACACCGGUGGCGAAGGCGGGACUCUGGGCCGAUACUGACGCUGAGGAGCGAAAGCGUGGGGAGCGAACAGG